RNAcentral lists this transfer RNA (67 nucleotides) under Pelochelys cantorii (Cantor's giant softshell turtle). Its description in RNAcentral is "tRNA-Cys". Lineage: Eukaryota; Metazoa; Chordata; Testudines; Trionychidae. The record is from RNAcentral.
AACCUUGUAGUGAAAUUCACGCCGAAUUGCAAAUUUGGAGAUACACAGUAGAGUGGUGUCCUGGUUU